RNAcentral lists this ribosomal RNA (264 nucleotides) under uncultured bacterium. RNAcentral describes it as "partial 16S ribosomal RNA". It matches the Rfam family "Bacterial small subunit ribosomal RNA", at positions 793 to 1055 of the family's 1533-position model. The record is from RNAcentral.
GUCCACGCCGUAAACGAUGGGCACUAGAUGUGGGCGGUGUCGACUCCGUCCGUGUCGAAGCUAACGCAUUAAGUGCCCCGCCUGGGGAGUACGGCCGCAAGGCUAAAACUCAAAGGAAUUGACGGGGGCCCCGCACAAGCAGCGGAGCAUGUGGUUUAAUUCGACGCAACGCGAAGAACCUUACCUGGGCUUGACAUGUCGGUGAAACCCCUGGAAACAGGGACCCUCUUCGGAGCACCGUCACAGGUGGUGCAUGGCUGUCGU